AGUAGCCACUGGAUUUGCAGCAGAAACACUCUGCUACAGAACAAGUGUCUUGGUUCACAGCAAAGAGGACAAAGAAAACAGCAAGUUUUAGGGGGUUGAAUCCUGGAUUCCCCUGGCAAACACCAUUCUACUUUCCGUCUCUAUGAAUUUGACUACUCGAAGUACCUCAUGUGAAAUGUUGGUGCCAAAUGAACUUUUCUGGUUCUUCUGAAUAUGCCACUGUUGCUGGAGAAAUGUCACUGCUAGAGAACAGAAGACUAUUAUUCCAAAGGGUAUUUGAGACUGACUGAAUCAGGUCUGGAACAUUAUUGAAAUGAGACCCACAAAAGAAGAGAUACUGAGAUCAUUUGCUCCAGAAGAAGCUGGUUGCCAUGUCUUGAGGACAGUAAACCCUCUGGGGAGGUUCCUGUGGUAAGGAACAAGGGCUCCUGGCAAUAGCCUCUGAGUGAGCCACCUUGAAAAUGGAUUGUCCAGCCCCAGUCAAGCUUUCAGAUGACUGUAGCUCCUGCCAAUGUCUUCACCACAACCUCAUGAGAUCCCAAGCUACAACCACUCAGUUAAGUUAUGCCAAAAUUCCUGAUUCACAGAAAUUGACAUACAGGAGAGGUCACAGUUAAGAUCUUGAUGUUCUAUCUUGACCCAUAAUAUAGGAACUUCAUCUUUUGGGAAGCACCAGGGAGAGCUGCCUGUGCCUGGCAGAAGCUGCCCAUGCCCCACUGAUACCCCACAGUACUUCCUGUUCUGCUUAGUACUCCUGCUUCUUUCUACAAACAACUGUGAUUCUCUACCUGGGAGCUUCCUCUGGCCACAGGAGCCUGCUCACCUGAUUGGGACACCCUAGCAGUACUGGUGAGUUAUAGCUUCCAGGAGCAGCUCUCUUCCAGCAAAGGAAAGGGUUGGCUGAACAGUACUUCAGCUGCCUCUGCUAGUGUGUGGGGCAAUGUUAAGACAUGCUCCACACAGUAAUGCAGGGGUCCCAGCAAGGUGGAGCCCCACUUGUCCACAGUAGUAACUUGCCAGUAGAUGCCUGCAUUGACUUUCUUCCCUGCUGUGCCUUUCUUUCCAUUCCCCUGCCAGUGCUUCCUGGAAUCAUCUCCCUCAUCAAUCAUUUGUUCCUAAAUUCUGUCUGAGUCUGUUUCUGAGGAAACCCAACCUGAGUCAUCGUCCCUCUUCUCCCCUCCUCACAUUCUCUUCACUGGGGGAGGAUGGAUUGAGUUGACUGGCAAAUUCGGGAGAAGGAGUUUGCAUCGGAGUGCGUGACUCAGCUGAGGCUGGGCUCUGUUUCUUCAGAAUGAAGUGCAUUCAGAUUCGAUGUGUAUCCUGUCUCUGGGAAGCCCCAUGCUCUGCUCAUCUUAGCAUGAUUACUAAGGUACACUCUGCCCUUGCAAGGGGAAGGCCCGAGAUUUGCUGCUGGCAGGCUCAGUGGGAGUUGGAUGUUUUAUGUAACCUGAUUGUGGAUAUAGAUCAAUUCAUGCUUUUCAAUUCAGUCCUCUCUCUAAUAAACUGCUGUCAUAAGCC
RNAcentral lists this long non-coding RNA (1518 nucleotides) under Homo sapiens (human). RNAcentral describes it as "STXBP5 antisense RNA 1". The record is from RNAcentral. Lineage: Eukaryota; Metazoa; Chordata; Mammalia; Primates; Hominidae.